RNAcentral lists this transfer RNA (140 nucleotides) under Oceanithermus profundus DSM 14977. It matches the Rfam family "tRNA". From Rfam's summary of the family: Transfer RNA (tRNA) molecules are approximately 80 nucleotides in length. Their secondary structure includes four short double-helical elements and three loops (D, anti-codon, and T loops). Further hydrogen bonds mediate the characteristic L-shaped molecular structure. tRNAs have two regions of fundamental functional importance: the anti-codon, which is responsible for specific mRNA codon recognition, and the 3' end, to which the tRNAs corresponding amino acid is attached (by aminoacyl-tRNA synthetases). tRNAs cope with the degeneracy of the genetic code in two manners: having more than one tRNA (with a specific anti-codon) for a particular amino acid; and 'wobble' base-pairing, i.e. permitting non-standard base-pairing at the 3rd anti-codon position. Lineage: Bacteria; Thermotogati; Deinococcota; Deinococci; Thermales; Thermaceae. The record is from Rfam by way of RNAcentral.
GGGCCCGUAGUCAAAUGGGAAGACAGCCGGCUUCAAGGUAAUCUGGAUUGCUCUGCGUUGAGCACCCCGUUCGAAUCGGGGCACCUUGUUCCUAAACUUGAGUCAACCGGCAGGUAGGGGUUCGAAUCCCCUCGGGUCCA